RNAcentral lists this ribosomal RNA (254 nucleotides) under uncultured bacterium. Its description in RNAcentral is "partial 16S ribosomal RNA". It matches the Rfam family "Bacterial small subunit ribosomal RNA", at positions 524 to 776 of the family's 1533-position model. The record is from RNAcentral.
UACGUAGGGUGCGAGCGUUGUCCGGAAUUAUUGGGCGUAAAGAGCUCGUAGGCGGUGUGUCACGUCGUUCGUGAAAACCUGCAGCUUAACUGUGGGCGUGCGGUCGAUACGGGCAUCACUGGAGUUCGGCAGGGGAGACUGGAAUUCCUGGUGUAGCGGUGAAAUGCGCAGAUAUCAGGAGGAACACCGGUGGCGAAGGCGGGUCUCUGAGCCGAUACUGACGCUGAGGAGCGAAAGCGUGGGGAGCGAACAGG